AAUAGAAUCAGCACUCCGAGCUGUAUGACCUAAAGUUAUCCAUGGUCUGGCAGUCUGAACCUAUGGGUUCACGGGGUAGUGAAAGAAAUUCCACUACCUCCCACUUUUGGAAAGGAGGCGCUUCAUGAGUUUU
This 133-nucleotide non-coding RNA is filed under the name Sporomusa malonica. Its description in RNAcentral is "MoCo sequence". It matches the Rfam family "Molybdenum/Tungsten riboswitch aptamer (Moco RNA motif)". Lineage: Bacteria; Bacillati; Bacillota; Negativicutes; Selenomonadales; Sporomusaceae. The record is from RNAcentral.